This is a long non-coding RNA of Stegastes partitus (bicolor damselfish), 279 nucleotides long. RefSeq lists it as uncharacterized. Lineage: Eukaryota; Metazoa; Chordata; Actinopteri; Pomacentridae. The record is from RefSeq and is a predicted model, not a curated record. The transcript is spliced from 3 exons.
AAGGCAGCGCGCGUAAGUUUCCUUUUCCUCUUAAUCGCGGGACAUCGCAGCGAGAGGCCACACAUGCAGCGAGCAGAGCAAAGAGUGAGCAGAGAGCGAUAAAGCGGAGUGAAUAUAAAGCUUAAAGAGAGCGUCAUUCGCUUCCUCAUUCAGCGGCACCACAUGGAGAGGCAGAAUCGCUUCUUCACUCGGUGGUGAAAUUCGUGAAUAUCGGUCAGGUCUUGAAGUAUACCGGUUUUCAGGCCUUGAAGUGGACCGGUCUUUAGGCCUUGAGGUUUU